RNAcentral lists this small RNA (30 nucleotides) under Bombyx mori (domestic silkworm). RNAcentral's name for it is "ovarian small RNA-510". Lineage: Eukaryota; Metazoa; Arthropoda; Insecta; Lepidoptera; Bombycidae. The record is from RNAcentral.
UCAACAUUCGGUGCUGCAUGUAGCGGCGAC